RNAcentral lists this unclassified non-coding RNA (373 nucleotides) under soil metagenome. RNAcentral's name for it is "partial contains 5.8S ribosomal RNA, internal transcribed spacer 2, and large subunit ribosomal RNA". The stretch from base 1 to 121 matches the Rfam family "5.8S ribosomal RNA", at positions 35 to 154 of the family's 154-position model. The record is from RNAcentral.
GAUGAAGAACGCAGCGAAAUGCGAUAAGUAAUGCGAAUUGCAGAAUUCCAGUGUGUCAUCGAAUCUUUGAACGCACAUUGCGCCCUUUGGUAUUCCGAAGGGCAUGCCUGUUCGAGCGUCAUUAUCACCCCUCAAGCCCUCGGCUUGGUGUUGGACGGUUUGGUGGAGGCCCCCUCGGGGGCUCCUGCCCCUCCCAAAGACAAUGACGGCGGCCUCGUUGGACCCCCGGUACACUGAGUUCUUCACGGGACACGUAUCGGACACAUGGGUUUACGGGACACGGUCUGCCUCCCCUCAGGGAGAAUCUUUCUAAGGUUGACCUCGGAUCAGGUAGGGAUACCCGCUGAACUUAAGCAUAUCAAUAAGCGGAGGA